AUUUUGAUGGCAAUAGCUAACGAUAUGAUAAAUAUAUUCUAGACAGGUCUUCUUUCAAUAUACCCUUGACGUUACUGCUCUAUAGUCUAUUCUAUCUGUUUUAAAUCAGCAACUUAGAACUUUUGAAGAGUUAUUCAAAUGCUUCUAAGCUGUAAAUUCGACCAAAGACUUUUCAGUUCAUUAGCCCUUCAAAAAUGUAAAUGUUUUCUGUGUCAAGAACUGGAGGGAUGAAGGGUGUAAAAUGUUACACUUCCAAGAAAAGCAGAGCUUACAGAUCUGCAUGUAACAAUGAGCGGAUUGACAGCUCUGACUUCUCUCAGCCAGAACUGCUAACUUCAUCUGACAAAAAAGAAAUUCCUCAUCAAAUCAGGACAGAAGAGUACCAAUAUUGGCAUUUGUACAUCAUUCAUUUCCUGAGGUUACGAAACAUCUAAUGCAUUACUGUGACAUGCAACAGCCAAAAGGUUUGCCUUCAUUUUCAUAGCUACUCAGUAGAUAGCCAUCCAGUAUUUGCUCCUCGCUAUUCUAAAUCUAGAAACAUUUAUAGUUGUGUUUAGGCUCUUAGAGAGGACUGUUUAUGCAGUAUAAGAGUACUGUCAUACUGCUCUCUGCACCUCCGAUAUCUCUCCUGCCCUUUUCUGAUGGCCUGUUUGUGUUUUUGAUCCAGAGUCAUGUAAUGGCCUUGCCCAGUACAGGUUUGUCUUUCUCUUGUAUUUUCAUUCUUGUUUUUAAGUAUUCAUGACUAAAGAAGAAAUGUGGCACUGAGUGGACAAACACACACUGAUUAUUGUGAUUUUAAACUUUAUUUAUUUAUUUUUUCCCUGUAAUGAAUUGUUGGAAGCUUAGCUUUGCUUUGGGUGUUAAUUUAAAAAACUUGGCUGACUUCUGUAAAUGUGAAGCAAAAUCUUCUUUCAGGCUGAGAAAAAGAUGGUGCAGCCUUUAGGUACCUGCAUAAAGGAAUGGGUAUAAAGGAAUUGAGAAAGUGGAGGAAGAAUGUAUCUUCCAGCCAUGUUAAGCAAGAAAAAAAUUGCUGGAAGUGUUUAUGAGAUUAAAAAGUAGUCUUG
Gallus gallus (chicken) is the source of this 1064-nucleotide long non-coding RNA. The record is from Ensembl. NCBI's taxonomy places the organism in Eukaryota, Metazoa, Chordata, Aves, Galliformes, Phasianidae.